RNAcentral lists this long non-coding RNA (271 nucleotides) under Elaeis guineensis (African oil palm). RNAcentral's name for it is "long non-coding RNA (EGUI_LNC015059)". Lineage: Eukaryota; Viridiplantae; Streptophyta; Magnoliopsida; Arecales; Arecaceae. The record is from RNAcentral.
CUCAUCUCCACAUGCCUAAGAUGUUCGGCUGAUCUUCUCCACCUCUUCUCUCUAUUCCUCCACUAUACACCUACGGUAGGCUACUUUAUCCCAUGCCUAAAGGAGUUGGGCUGAUCCAAUGUACGCUUGAAGGUGUUUAGGCACCAUCCAACUGAAGGAAGAAGAAGGCCGCAUCUGUUAGUCCCGACGAUCAGAUCAUCAUUGAUCGAGAGCCCAAAUCCAACUUGAGAAGGUGGAUCAGAUUUGGAGAAGGCAUCCUAGAUUGAGUUCG